Long non-coding RNA from Carya illinoinensis, 421 nucleotides. RefSeq lists it as uncharacterized. The transcript has 2 exons. NCBI's taxonomy places the organism in Eukaryota, Viridiplantae, Streptophyta, Magnoliopsida, Fagales, Juglandaceae. The record is from RefSeq and is a predicted model, not a curated record.
UCAAAUGAUGUGGAUGAUUUAGCUAAGAAUCAGGAAUAGAAAUUGUGAGCAAGGCGAAGCUGAGGAUAAGGUGUUGGGUACCUUAAGUGAAAACUACCAUUCCCCUCGAAUGGUAGGCAAUGUGUCAGAAUCAGAGCAGGGAGCGGAUAUUAGUAGACUGGAUGAGGUUGACUAGACGCCACAGACAGGACGUGGAGCUUAUAGCACCCAUAGUUAGUUUUUGGAUAGUAUUCUAACCUCAUUAGUCAAGUUACAUGAGUUACUCAACGAACUUCCUCAAUAAUGUAUUUUGGUAAUGUAAAUAUAGAGUCUGGUCUUCCAUAUUUUUGAGAUAAUAGUCUUCUAAGACUCAUAUUGAAAUCGUGGAUGUUUAUUUUAUUAAGUAUGCUUGGAUUACAAUUUAACUAUUUGGGAUAUUAUA